UUCCUCUUGGGCCGUCUCCAGGGAGCACAAAAGCAGACUGAAAGAAGGUUCAGGAAUCGAACGAGUUCUAGGCAAGUCCAAAGAGCUCUUCCAGCAGACCCAGGCCGAUGUGCCUUUUACCAGCUAACAUCCUCGCAUUUCAUGGCAUGGUGCUGGCAUGAUGGAAAGAUCAUCUGCCAGCUCUUUUCCUCCACAUCCCGGUGUGAAGUCCAGAAGUCUUCACCACAGAGAUCACUUCAGGGACAGAAAACGCAGUUCUCAUCCAGAUCCAACGCUUACUACUCCACAACGUUGGGCAAGGUACAUUACCUCUCUACACCGCAUUUUUCUCAUCUGGAGUGUAUUGAUGUUGGACUUGAUCCCUUCCAGCUGUAG
RNAcentral lists this long non-coding RNA (375 nucleotides) under Oryctolagus cuniculus (rabbit). RNAcentral describes it as "lncRNA (ENSOCUG00000033483.1)". Lineage: Eukaryota; Metazoa; Chordata; Mammalia; Lagomorpha; Leporidae. The record is from RNAcentral.